This 492-nucleotide ribosomal RNA is filed under the name uncultured bacterium. RNAcentral's name for it is "partial 16S ribosomal RNA". It matches the Rfam family "Bacterial small subunit ribosomal RNA", at positions 29 to 507 of the family's 1533-position model. The record is from RNAcentral.
AGUGAACGCUGGCGGUAGGCUUAACACAUGCAAGUCGAACGGCAGCACAGUAAGAGCUUGCUCUUACGGGUGGCGAGUGGCGGACGGGUGAGGAAUACAUCGGAAUCUACUUUUUCGUGGGGGAUAACGUAGGGAAACUUACGCUAAUACCGCAUACGACCUACGGGUGAAAGCAGGGGAUCUUCGGACCUUGCGCGAUUGAAUGAGCCGAUGUCGGAUUAGCUAGUUGGCGGGGUAAAGGCCCACCAAGGCGACGAUCCGUAGCUGGUGUGAGAGGAUGGUCAGCCACACUGGAGCUGAGACACGGUCCAGACUCCUACGAGAGGCAGCAGUGGGGAAUAUUGGACAAUGGGCGCAAGCCUGAUCCAGCCAUACCGCGUGGGUGAAGAAGGCCUUCGGGUUGUAAAGCCCUUUUGUUGGGAAAGAAAAGCAGCAGGUUAAUACCCCGCUGUUCUGACGGUACCCAAAGAAUAAGCACCGGCUAACUUCGUG